Molecule: long non-coding RNA, 781 nt
Filed under: Homo sapiens (human)
Lineage: Eukaryota; Metazoa; Chordata; Mammalia; Primates; Hominidae
Description: HSALNT0290167
Source: RNAcentral
GUCUCGUGUGUUCUACUCACUGGCAUCCCUGCCUGGACUGGGAAAAAGUCAUCACCCUCUGCCCAAGCCCUGUGCAGCUUGGCCCACCUGAGCCUCUUGCUACUGAAAUGACUCUCCUUCCCUUAUAUCACCAGAAGAGAUGGGUCCACCUAGAGGAAGGAGCAAAACAGGAGUUAAACUGCAGAGCAUGAUCAAGAGUCGGUCUCACUCACCCUGAUUCGGGAAGUUGGAUUCCACCACUCUGUGGUUCAGGGGCUGGGUCCUGCGGUAAUCGUUGUGGAUGGUCUUGUUGCGGUGAUCCAGUAAGGAAUUCUCCAGCUUCCAAACCUGGGGGCAACCUGAUCAUGGUUGUGUGCACCUGUAAUCCCAGCUACUCAGGAGGCUGAGGCAGGAGAAUCGCUUGAACCUGGGAGGCAGAGGCUGCAGUAAGCCAGUAUCACGCAACCGCACUCCAGCCUGGGAGACAGAGAGAAACUCUGUCUCAAAAAAAAUAAAAAAUAAAAAAGAAUUAACAACUGGGCUAGAGUUUGGAUUUAUAUAACCCUGAUGAAGUGACUGUAAGAAGAUCUCAAGUCCAGGGGAGGUUCUGGGUGCUGUGUCUCAGGCAUUAUUCCAGAACUAAUCUAUCCGUGCAUUCUUCCAACAGGUAUCUGCACACAAGCUCUCUUUUCAGCUUUUUAUAUGAGUAUUUGUCCAGUAGUAGAAAGGAGAGAAAGAAGAAGCAGAAAUAUAUCAAGUGGCAAACUCAAUUUUUGUUUUUCUGAAAAUGUCAGGUUUUUCU